AACGAUGAAGCCCUUCGGGGUGGAUUAGUGGCGAACGGGUGAGUAACACGUGGGCAAUCUGCCCUUCACUCUGGGACAAGCCCUGGAAACGGGGUCUAAUACCGGAUAACACACUUUCCCUCCUGGGAGGGUGUUAAAAGCUCCGGCGGUGAAGGAUGAGCCCGCGGCCUAUCAGCUUGUUGGUGGGGUAAUGGCCUACCAAGGCGACGACGGGUAGCCGGCCUGAGAGGGCGACCGGCCACACUGGGACUGAGACACGGCCCAGACUCCUACGGGAGGCAGCAGUGGGGAAUAUUGCACAAUGGGCGAAAGCCUGAUGCAGCGACGCCGCGUGAGGGAUGACGGCCUUCGGGUUGUAAACCUCUUUCAGCAGGGAAGAAGCGAAAGUGACGGUACCUGCAGAAGAAGCGCCGGCUAACUACGUGCCAGCAGCCGCGGUAAUACGUAGGGCGCAAGCGUUGUCCGGAAUUAUUGGGCGUAAAGAGCUCGUAGGCGGCUUGUCACGUCGGGUGUGAAAGCCCGGGGCUUAACCCCGGGUCUGCAUUCGAUACGGGCUAGCUAGAGUGUGGUAGGGGAGAUCGGAAUUCCUGGUGUAGCGGUGAAAUGCGCAGAUAUCAGGAGGAACACCGGUGGCGAAGGCGGAUCUCUGGGCCAUUACUGACGCUGAGGAGCGAAAGCGUGGGGAGCGAACAGGAUUAGAUACCCUGGUAGUCCACGCCGUAAACGUUGGGAACUAGGUGUUGGCGACA
RNAcentral lists this ribosomal RNA (749 nucleotides) under Streptomycetaceae bacterium. RNAcentral's name for it is "bacterial SSU rRNA". It matches the Rfam family "Bacterial small subunit ribosomal RNA", at positions 65 to 831 of the family's 1533-position model. The record is from RNAcentral. Lineage: Bacteria; Bacillati; Actinomycetota; Actinomycetes; Kitasatosporales; Streptomycetaceae.